GCGUAGCAUCAGCUAGUUGGUGGGGGUAAUGGCCUACCAAGGCGAAGACGCUUAGCUGGUCUGAGAGGAUGAUCAGCCACACUGGGACUGAGACACGGCCCAGACUCCUAUGGGAGGCAGCAGUGGGGAAUAUUGGACAAUGGGCGCAAGCCUGAUCCAGCCACGCCGCGUGAGUGAUGAAGGCCUUCGGGUCGUAAAGCUCUGUGGGGAGGGACGAACGGCGCCAUGAAGAGUGGCGAUUGACGGUACCUCCUUAGCAAGCACCGGCUAACUUCGUGCCAGCAGCCGCGGUAAUACGAAGGGUGCAAACGUUGCUCGGAAUCAUUGGGCGUAAAGCGCACGUAGGCGGCUUUCUAAGUCGGAUGUGAAAUCCCUCGGCUUAACCGAGGACGUGCAUCCGAAACUGGGAGGCUUGAGUAUGGAAGAGGGUCGCAGAAUUCCCGGUGUAGAGGUGAAAUUCGUAGAUAUCGGGAGGAAUACCAGUGGC
Molecule: ribosomal RNA, 487 nt
Filed under: uncultured bacterium
Lineage: Bacteria
Description: bacterial SSU rRNA
Rfam family: Bacterial small subunit ribosomal RNA
Source: RNAcentral